RNAcentral lists this ribosomal RNA (301 nucleotides) under uncultured bacterium. RNAcentral describes it as "partial 16S ribosomal RNA". It matches the Rfam family "Bacterial small subunit ribosomal RNA", at positions 509 to 807 of the family's 1533-position model. The record is from RNAcentral.
CAGUAGCCGCGGUAAUACAGAGGGUGCGAGCGUUAAUCGGAUUUACUGGGCGUAAAGCGUGCGUAGGCGGCUUUUUAAGUCGGAUGUGAAAUCCCUGAGCUUAACUUAGGAAUUGCAUUCGAUACUGGGAAGCUAGAGUAUGGGAGAGGAUGGUAGAAUUCCAGGUGUAGCGGUGAAAUGCGUAGAGAUCUGGAGGAAUACCGAUGGCGAAGGCAGCCAUCUGGCCUAAUACUGACGCUGAGGUACGAAAGCAUGGGGAGCAAACAGGAUUAGAUACCCCCGUAGUCCAUGUCUCUUAUAC